This is a non-coding RNA of Notechis scutatus (mainland tiger snake), 312 nucleotides long. Lineage: Eukaryota; Metazoa; Chordata; Lepidosauria; Squamata; Elapidae. The record is from RefSeq and is a predicted model, not a curated record.
UUGCUCUCAAAUGACUGGCAAUUGUUUAAUAAUUACUGCUGUUGCUACCAUUUUUAUUUUAAGGGCAAUUUUUCCACCCAAUCGACUUUGAUAUACUUGAUGUCCACUCUGGUUCAGAUGCACAAAAACCAGAUGCCACCAUGAUUGUGAAAAAUAACCAGCUGAGAGUAACUAGGGGAUGGCAGAAGGAUUACAUAGCUGAUAUCCAACAGGGCGCCAAUAUCCCUUGUUGGUUUAUUCACAACAAUGGAGAUGGCCUUAUUGAUGGCAAUCACACAGACUACAUUGUUCCCAGCAUAUUCUGAAAUAAAA